UCAGAAGUGCGAAUGCUGACAUAAGUAACGAUAAUGCGGGUGAAAAACCCGCACGCCGGAAGACCAAGGGUUCCUGUCCAACGUUAAUCGGGGCAGGGUGAGUCGACCCCUAAGGCGAGGCUGAAAAGCGUAGUCGAUGGGAAACGGGUUAAUAUUCCCGUACUGGUGGUAACUGCGAUGGGGGAACGGAGAAGGCUAGGUUGUCCGGGCGACGGUCGUCCCGGUUCAAGCAGGUAGGCAGAGUGAUUAGGCAAAUCCGGUCACUUAAUGCUGAGAUGUGAUGACGAACCACCAAGGUGGUGAAGCAAUUGAUGCCCCGCUUCCAGGAAAAGCCUCUAAGCUUCAGGUUACCAACAAUCGUACCCCAAACCGACACAGGUGGUCAGGUAGAGAAUACUCAGGCGCUUGAGAGAACUCGGGUGAAGGAACUAGGCAAAAUGGUGCCGUAACUUCGGGAGAAGGCACG
This 466-nucleotide ribosomal RNA is filed under the name Proteus mirabilis. Its description in RNAcentral is "partial 23S ribosomal RNA". It matches the Rfam family "Bacterial large subunit ribosomal RNA", at positions 1282 to 1750 of the family's 2925-position model. Lineage: Bacteria; Pseudomonadati; Pseudomonadota; Gammaproteobacteria; Enterobacterales; Morganellaceae. The record is from RNAcentral.